GGUUGAUCCUGCCAGUAGUCAUAUGCUUGUCCCAAAGAUUAAGCCAUGCAUGUCCAAGUAUAAACCUUUAUACGGUGAAACUGCGAAUGGCUCAUUAUAUCAGUUAUAAUUUAUUUGAUGGUGACUUUACUACUUGGAUAACCGUGGUAAUUCUAGAGCUAAUACAUGCAAAGAGCCCGACUUUUGGAAGGGCGGUAUUUAUUAGAUAAAAACCGGCGCCAGCAAUGGCAGAUGGUGAGUCAUAAUAACUGCGCGGAUCGCAUGGCCAUGCGCCGGCGACGCUUCAUUCAAA
RNAcentral lists this ribosomal RNA (292 nucleotides) under uncultured eukaryote. Its description in RNAcentral is "partial 18S ribosomal RNA". It matches the Rfam family "Eukaryotic small subunit ribosomal RNA", at positions 6 to 303 of the family's 1831-position model. The record is from RNAcentral.